This is a long non-coding RNA of Bubalus bubalis (water buffalo), 1306 nucleotides long. RefSeq lists it as uncharacterized. Lineage: Eukaryota; Metazoa; Chordata; Mammalia; Artiodactyla; Bovidae. The transcript is spliced from 3 exons. The record is from RefSeq and is a predicted model, not a curated record.
GUCGGUGACGUCAGUGACAGAGUCAGCUAACAGUCGGGAGAUACCACAGUCUCGAACUGCAGUGAGGAUGUGAAUCGAUUCCUGUGGCUGGUUUUAAAAAACUGGAUUUCUUAUAUAUACAGUGAAUCCAGUCUUCUGCUCUUUGGCUUAGAGUGUGGAAAGCAUCUUCCCAUCAAAAUGGAGUCUUUCCUCUUGAAUGACGUCGGCUCCAUGAUAUGCAAUAAAGCCAUCGAGAGAAUCAUCUCACUGAUGACUGUUCAGCUUUGUCAUCUGAUCCUCUCAAUGGAGAAAAAAGUCAUGGAGAAUGAAGUGUUUGCCUCUUUGGAGAAGACGGCAGAGGAGCUGGUUCAAGCUAGUGAAGAGUUUGUGCAAGUUGCCCAAAGGCAUUAGAAUGAGCACAGCUCAGCUGGUGAUACAUAAAUCUAAAGCCUUAUGAAGUACUCGAGGCAUAAUUCAUGAGAUAAGAAAAUGAUGAAUGAGAAGAUGGAUGUUAGCUGAGCCUACUGAGGUAAUCAUUUCACAGUACAUAGCAAUCAAAACUGUCAUGCUGUAUGCCUUAAACUUAUACAGUGAUGUAUGUCAAUUAUUUCCUAAUAAAGCUUUUAAAUUUUAAAAUCAUAAAACAAAAAAAUAGGUCUUAUUGGUGUCAUUUAGAUCAGCCCCAUGAGAAGGUUUCUGUCGUCAGGGGGUCUUCCUUCAAACACCAACCUCCCUUUCUGAAGUUUCAAUGUUUCCUCAGUUCCUGUGUGCAAAAUUCAAAGCCUCUGAAAUGGUACACAGAAGCGCUCUGAAUCUGAACCUUGUAAAUUGCCCUCACCUUCUCUUAUAUCCAAACACCUCUUCGUCUUAGAUAUGCAGAGUCAUUUGUGAUUAUUUCUGUUCAUCACCUCUGCACGCGUUGUCCUUCCUGACUGCCUGGAAAACUCCCAAUAUCCUCUAAGAGAUAACCUGAGUGUUAACUUCUCUAAAUUGAAUUCUAUUCAGGGAGUGCACUUGAGCACCUCCCCUGAAAGACUUUCUUCUGGACCCUGAACCAGCUUUCCCUGCCCUGGAGCCUAACCCAGCCUGGCGACCCACUACGCUGAAGCCCCACAGUGAGCUAUAUGUGCCCUGAAUAAUUUAUAUCAUAAUGUCGGACACUGCUGAGCGACCGAACAAGGACUCCCAAGCAAAUCUUUUACGGUUGCUAUUGCAGGGAAUGGCCACAAGGAGGCGGGCUUUUCUCAAGCCCAAUUGUGAUUACCUGGGAAAUGAGCUUUUGAGAGUUUUAAUUCAGGGCUGUAAUGUACCUGAACGAACACCCAAA